Molecule: long non-coding RNA, 415 nt
Organism: Bradysia coprophila
Lineage: Eukaryota; Metazoa; Arthropoda; Insecta; Diptera; Sciaridae
Source: RefSeq, a predicted model, not a curated record
UCUGAGCAAAAAUUUGGCUGAUGUCUGUGAGUCGUACGACACGAUGCUAAAUUUUUACACUAAGAUAUGAUAAGAGCAAUAAAUUGUACCGAAGAUUUUCACAGUCAUUUAGUGCUUUCAAUAUUGUGUCCACCAUGUCCAAAUUCUUCAUGCUAACGUACAAAUUCGUUCCGGAUGUUCUAACUAAGAGGGUACCCGUGCGUGCUGAACAUCUGCAGCUAGCAGAGAAAUACGCAACGGAAGGAAAGUUACUUCUUGGUGGCGCUUUCGCCGAUCCAGUAGAUUCAUCUGCUGCGAUUUUUAAAACCGAUACUAAAGAAGAUAUUGAGAAAUUUGUUCGAGCCGAUCCAUAUGUACAGAAAGGAAUUGUGACUGAGUGGAGUAUUCGUGAGUGGACAGUUGUGGUGGGAGCAUU